This 124-nucleotide ribosomal RNA is filed under the name Sufflamen verres (orangeside triggerfish). RNAcentral describes it as "partial 16S ribosomal RNA". The record is from RNAcentral. Lineage: Eukaryota; Metazoa; Chordata; Actinopteri; Tetraodontiformes; Balistidae.
AAAACAACAACCCAAUAUAAAUAACCCCAAACACACUACUCCUCCUAUAAACAAACCAUUUUACCCCCCUAGUAUGGGCGACAGAAAAGGAACUAUUGGAGCGAUAGAGAAAGUACCGCAAGGG